Chlamydotis undulata (Houbara bustard) is the source of this 46-nucleotide regulatory RNA element. It matches the Rfam family "Histone 3' UTR stem-loop". Rfam says of the family: The mRNAs of metazoan histone genes lack a poly-A tail. 3' end processing occurs at a site between a highly conserved stem-loop (modelled by this family) and a purine rich region around 20 nts downstream (the histone downstream element, or HDE). The record is from Rfam. NCBI's taxonomy places the organism in Eukaryota, Metazoa, Chordata, Aves, Otidiformes, Otididae.
CAAACGGCUCUUUUAAGAGCCCCCCACAUUUUCUUAAAAAGGGCUG